Molecule: ribosomal RNA, 245 nt
Filed under: uncultured bacterium
Lineage: Bacteria
Description: partial small subunit ribosomal RNA
Rfam family: Bacterial small subunit ribosomal RNA
Source: RNAcentral
AGAAUCAACGCUGGCGGCGUGCCUAACACAUGCAAGUCGCACGAGAAAGGGUAGCAAUACCUGAGUAAAGUAGCGCACGGGUGAGUAACACGUGAAUUAUCUACCUCCGAGUGGGGAAUAACUGAGAGAAAUCUUAGCUAAUACCGCAUAACACUUACGAGUCAAAGCAGCAAUGCGCUUGGAGAGGAGUUCGCGGCCGAUUAGUUAGUUGGCGGGGUAAUGGCCCACCAAGACGAUGAUCGGUA